Molecule: long non-coding RNA, 997 nt
Filed under: Nicotiana tabacum (common tobacco)
Lineage: Eukaryota; Viridiplantae; Streptophyta; Magnoliopsida; Solanales; Solanaceae
Description: long non-coding RNA (NTAB_LNC003202)
Source: RNAcentral
AUGAUCAAAGAAUUUUAUAUACAACAUGAGGAUAAUAUGUUUAUUUUCUCUGCAAUAUGUGCAAAUGAAAGACAUAAAAAUUGUACCCUUCCAACACGUAAUCUAGAGCUUUAGUUGUUGCAUAUUUUUAAACUUGCUGCAUGUUACUGCAAGGUUGUCUCCUUAUUUGCCUGUUGUACUUCACAGUUGCCCAAAAACUCUUUGUGAUCAAGUUGUCUAGUCUUGUAGGUUAGUAUUCCAUACCCUGUUUGCAUCAGCAAUACCAUGAUACAAUGACAGAAGACUCUCUGGUGGUGCUGCAACACAUGGUUUAGAUUGAAGUAAUACUCGAAUCCCGACGACUAACAUUUUUAAGUGACUAAUCUGUGAAAAAAGUAGUAAAUGAUAUGAUAUCACCCCGUCCUUGCAAAAAGAUGUUUUUCCGUCUUUGGGAUCUUGUUAAGUAGCUAACUCUUUCUCCCAAAAGUAAUUGUAUAUCGCUUGUGAAGAUAAACAAUACCCAAGAUGUACGCAUAAUAUUCGAAGUCGAGGCGUCUACAUUUUUGUUGUGAAACCCAAUGAGACCUUAUUUGUAGCUAAUGAGAAUACAGUAACAAUGUAAAUAUGAUACCAGUCAACUUAUUGCUAAUAAUACAUAAAAUAGAAAAGAGAGAAUUAUGUAUUCUUUCAGGCAUAAAAUUUAAGAAAAGCUAUUAAAAUCUUUGUUCUCUUUUGGAACUCGAAAUUAAGGCUAUUACAAUCUUUCACUAUUGAUGUUUUUUCUAAUAUAGACAUCAGUAAGCAAAUUACCGAUUCCGCUUGUUUCAAGUUCACAGAAGAUUUAAACAGGAAUUAGUGACGUGGUGACUGAAAUUGGACUAUAUGCAGAUUAUGAACACCAAUAGAAAUGCUUUAGAGUAAUGUCUAUAGGUAUAAUUUGUGAAUAGCAUAAGUAUGUAAAACUUCCUACCUCCGGCAUAACAUUUAAGGCCAUCUCGAAUUGCUCGACAAGCUCUCC